RNAcentral lists this ribosomal RNA (496 nucleotides) under uncultured Simplicispira sp. RNAcentral's name for it is "bacterial SSU rRNA". It matches the Rfam family "Bacterial small subunit ribosomal RNA", at positions 521 to 1017 of the family's 1533-position model. Lineage: Bacteria; Pseudomonadati; Pseudomonadota; Betaproteobacteria; Burkholderiales; Comamonadaceae. The record is from RNAcentral.
UAAUACGUAGGGUGCGAGCGUUAAUCGGAAUUACUGGGCGUAAAGCGUGCGCAGGCGGUUAUAUAAGGCAGAUGUGAAAUCCCCGGGCUCAACCUGGGAACUGCAUUAGUGACUGUAUAGCUAGAGUGCGGCAGAGGGGGAUGGAAUUCCGCGUGUAGCAGUGAAAUGCGUAGAUAUGCGGAGGAACACCGAUGGCGAAGGCAAUCCCCUGGGCCUGCACUGACGCUCAUGCACGAAAGCGUGGGGAGCAAACAGGAUUAGAUACCCUGGUAGUCCACGCCCUAAACGAUGUCAACUGGUUGUUGGGCCUUCACUGGCUCAGUAACGAAGCUAACGCGUGAAGUUGACCGCCUGGGGAGUACGGCCGCAAGGUUAAAACUCAAAGGAAUUGACGGGGACCCGCACAAGCGGUGGAUGAUGUGGUUUAAUUCGAUGCAACGCGAAAAACCUUACCCACCUUUGACAUGUACGGAAGAUCGCAGAGACGCGAUUGUGC